GACGAACGCUGGCGGCGUGCUUAACACAUGCAAGUCGAACGGAAAGGCCCUGCUUGCAGGGUACUCGAGUGGCGAACGGGUGAGUAACACGUGGGUGAUCUGCCCUGCACUUCGGGAUAAGCUUGGGAAACUGGGUCUAAUACCGGAUAGGAACCAUCUUUAGUGUGGUGGUUGGAAAGUUUUUUCGGUGUAGGAUGAGCUCGCGGCCUAUCAGCUUGUUGGUGGGUAAUGGCCUACCAAGGCGGCGACGGGUAGCCGGCCUGAGAGGGUGUACGGCCACAUUGGGACUGAGAUACGGCCCAGACUCCUACGGGAGGCAGCAGUGGGGAAUAUUGCACAAUGGGCGCAAGCCUGAUGCAGCGACGCCGCGUGGGGGAUGAAGGCCUUCGGGUUGUAAACUCCUUUCGCUAGGGACGAAGCUUUUUGUGACGGUACCUAGAUAAGAAGCACCGGCUAACUACGUG
This 464-nucleotide ribosomal RNA is filed under the name uncultured bacterium. Its description in RNAcentral is "partial 16S ribosomal RNA". It matches the Rfam family "Bacterial small subunit ribosomal RNA", at positions 28 to 507 of the family's 1533-position model. The record is from RNAcentral.